UGCAGAAUCCCGCAAACCAUCGAGUCUUUGAACGCAAGGUUGGCCUCAGGCACGUCCUCCUGGGUGUAGAGC
Molecule: ribosomal RNA, 72 nt
Filed under: Neobathiea grandidieriana
Lineage: Eukaryota; Viridiplantae; Streptophyta; Magnoliopsida; Asparagales; Orchidaceae
Description: Neobathiea grandidierana partial 5.8S ribosomal RNA
Source: RNAcentral